UACGAAGGGGGCUAGCGUUGUUCGGAAUCACUGGGCGUAAAGGGCGCGUAGGCGGCUUUUCAAGUCGGGGGUGAAAGCCUGUGGCUCAACCACAGAAUUGCCUUCGAUACUGUUAGGCUUGAGACCGGAAGAGGUGAGUGGAACUGCGAGUGUAGAGGUGAAAUUCGUAGAUAUUCGCAAGAACACCAGUGGCGAAGGCGGCUCACUGGCCCGAUACUGACGCUGAGGUGCGAAAGCGUGGGGAGCAAACAGG
Molecule: ribosomal RNA, 253 nt
Filed under: uncultured bacterium
Lineage: Bacteria
Description: partial 16S ribosomal RNA
Rfam family: Bacterial small subunit ribosomal RNA
Source: RNAcentral